RNAcentral lists this ribosomal RNA (468 nucleotides) under uncultured bacterium. RNAcentral's name for it is "partial 16S ribosomal RNA". It matches the Rfam family "Bacterial small subunit ribosomal RNA", at positions 28 to 507 of the family's 1533-position model. The record is from RNAcentral.
GACGAACGCUGGCGGCGUGCUUAGCACAUGCAAGUCGAACGGAAAGGCCCUGCUUUUGUGGGGUGCUCGAGUGGCGAACGGGUGAGUAACACGUGAGUAACCUGCCCUUGACUUUGGGAUAACUUCAGGAAACUGGGGCUAAUACCGGAUAGGAGCUCCUGCUGCAUGGUGGGGGUUGGAAAGUUUCGGCGGUUGGGGAUGGACUCGCGGCUUAUCAGCUUGUUGGUGGGGUAGUGGCUUACCAAGGCUUUGACGGGUAGCCGGCCUGAGAGGGUGACCGGCCACAUUGGGACUGAGAUACGGCCCAGACUCCUACGGGAGGCAGCAGUGGGGAAUAUUGCACAAUGGGCGGAAGCCUGAUGCAGAAACGCCGCGUGCGGGAUGACGGACUUCGGGUUGUAAACCGCUUUCGCCUGUGACGAAGCGUGAGUGACGGUAAUGGGUAAAGAAGCACCGGCUAACUACGUG